GGGGCCCUCCCCCCUUGAUCACUUAUUGAGAAAAUGCCCCACAGCUGGAUCUCAUGGAGGCACUUCCCCAACUGAAGCUCCUUUUAUGUAAUAACUCCAGCCUGUGUCAAGUUGACACACAAAACCAGCCAGUACAGCUCUGGUCUGAAAUCAUGUCCUCAUGCUUGUGAAGAAUUACCCAAUGAGCCCUCUCUCUGGUCCCUCGCAGGGCUGCGGAGUCAAAGUUUCAUGGGGAGAUGGUCAGGAUAACGGUUCUGAGAAGAAACCACCCUGGCAGUUCUCAGAGGCCAGAAGAGAGAGCAUCAAAUCCCUUGGAGCUGGAGUUUCAAGUGGUUCUUUUUAUUAUCAUUACCUGGUUUAAAAGUGUGAAUCCGCGGCGUUCCCAGGGAGGCAGAUGUGCACAGGAGUGUUUCCCAGCACUUUAAAUUCACAUGUGAACACUGGAGUUCAUCAGUCUCGUCCCAAGCAUGUUUCCUCCCAGCUGUGCACCGGUGACCUUGCUGGGAAGCCUCUAGACCCCCGGCUCUGAGUGGGACUCUAUCCCUGCCCGUCUUAGCCAACGGUGUUCCUCACGUCCACUGCAGAAGCAGACCAGGUCACAGGGGGUUGGGGUUAGGGUGGCUGGUGAGAUGGCUGAGUGGUGAGCGCUAGCCGCUCUUCCGGAGGACCUGAGUUUGGACCACUCAUAACCACUUGAAUAAUUGUGUGCUUAUAAAUUCUAAUUGCCUGGCCAAUUAGAAGGCCCCUUUCUCUAAGCCUGUGUGAUGGCUGUUCUUGCUUGCCAACUUGACUGCAUCUGGAAUUAAUUAAAACCCAAACAGCUGUGAGGGAUUUUUUUUCUCUUAAUUAAAUCAUUUGAAGUAGGAAGAUCACUUUUUUCCUUUUAUUUAUUCACUUUAUAUCUAGUUCAUUGCCCCUCCUCCUGGGGACCCCCUCCCACAUUCCUUUCCCCCCAUCCUCCCUCCCCUUCUCCUUUGUGAGGGUGGGGUCCUUGGGUGUGGUCCUGACCCUGGCACAUCAAGUCUCUGCGGGGCUAGGCACAUCCUCUCCCACUGAGGCCAGAGAAGGCAGCCCAGCUAGAAGAGCACACCCCAUGUUCAGCCAACGGCUUUUGGGAUGGCCCUGCUCCAGCUGUUCAGGAUCCACAUGAAGACCAAGCUGCACAUCUGCUACCUAUGAGCAGGGAGACAGACGCAGGUCCAGUCUGUGGAUGUUCUUUGGUUGGUGGUUCAGUCUGUAGAGCCCCUAGGGUCCAGAGCCUGAGUCCUUGGGAUUAUGACAUAUGCUGAAGCCCAGUGGACACAUCCAGCAUCGUUGACUGAACAACUACUGGAUUCUUGGACUUCCUGUUGGUAAAUGGCCACUGUUGGACUAGCUGGACCACAAGCCUGUAAACCCUUCUAGUAAGUCGCAUAUAUAUUCAUUCUAUAAAUUCUGUCCUCCCCCCCCCCAAAAAAAAUCCCUCUGGCUAAUACAGCCUGACCGGAUACAAACACAAUAUCUGCCAAAUACAUGGCGUCUUCCAGAAGGGGCAUCCAGAGCACAGAGGUGACUGAAAAGCAGGCUUCCUGGAUGGAAAGUCCAGCUCUGACUCUGGCUUGAGACCAUGGGCUCAUGGUUUAAUGUGCCUCAGUUUCACUGUCUGCAAGACAGCGUCAAACACAGAGGAUCCUUGUAGAAAUUACACACCGAAAUAUAUAAAGCAUCAGAAUAGUGCCCAGAAUCCAGAGGACAACAAGGAGCCGGGUGCUGCUCCCUGGCACAUGAGGCUGAGGAGAGACAUGGUUCGCGUGAUGGAGAGAGGCCCAGGGGCAGGGCUCUGGGCCUUCACAUGGCUUAGGUUCUCUGGAACCAGCUGCUCCUAAAAUUGGAUGUGCCUGAAACUUUUCGGUUGCUUAAUAUUCUGUGACUUGCAUAAAAAAAAAAAUACAAUAACUGUCCUUAGAGCAGUAAUCCAGCGUCCUGGGCAGGAAGAUGGAAGCUGCCCACACCCUGUGGUUUAAGUCUGGGCCUUCUCCUUCCCCAACUUCUUCUCGCUCCGAUGUUCUUCUCCCACACUCCUACUACAGAGAUGGUUGGGCUCGGGGAGGAAAUGUUUUCUGGAUGCUUCUGUUUAGAGACUGUGCUCAGGCAUGUGAACUGUUGGAUUUAUUAAUAACUCUAUGAGGACCCUGGAGUGCACAGCCAGUGACCAAGACACACAGAUGCGGCCACCUGAAGCCCACCCUGGAGCCCCUCUGGAUAAGGUCAAAUUCUAGACAGAUAUCAGAACUCGUUCUAGUCAGCACUGACUGGCAAAUGUGAUUAGUCCUUUUUAAAAAUGGCGCUGACCCCAAAGCACUCUAGUCAAUGCCUGGUCUCAAUAAUCUUUCUCAGGCAAUUACUUCAUCCACCUAUCCUCAGUCUCAAAGCUGAAGUCUUAUUUGUAAAGAAACUAUGACCUGGCCACACAGCUCCAAGGAUCCAUGUUCACUCCUGCACUACUCCGUCCUCACAGCAGGCCUGAGAGCUGAGGUCUCCACCAUCUUUGUGGCUUGAUGGCCAGGUGUAAGCACAGGUGUCUGUGUCACACCAGCCUGAGUUUGAAUUUUACUUUCUCUAGUUACCGAGGGUAAGCCACAUGGACAGUAAGAGGACAUGGGGGUAAGUGGUUUGUUUCCUGUUCUGUCUCAUCAAUAGUACACCCAUUAACACAGUGCGUGGUUAUCAGAUGCAUGGAGAUCUUUCCCAUGCCAGUCAGUCAGUGUUUGCAACCACCACCAGCCGGACAACCUCUGAUAGUCUGAUUCUGACACUGACCCGGAGGUAAUAGCCAAUGCCACAGGUCACGGAUUCAGUACUCCGUCAGCUCUGACUUCAUGUGUUGGUUGAAAGCACAAGGUCUUGUCUGUGCAUCUGAUCAGCGCUUUAUACAUUUGGAACUCCCGUGGUCCCUUCCUUGAAUCCUACUGUUUUGCUAGAAUGGUUCAGAGAACUCAGGGAAGUCUUUGCUUAUGGCCACAAUAUACUGACCUUUCGCUUUAUAAUAUCUAAGGGUGUUUCCAAACAAGGUGUGUGGUUUGCCUCACCUCCCGGGUUUCCAUUGCAGCGGUGAGUCACCCACCUUUCCAAUUUAACAGCCCAGAUAUAAAUCGAUUAUUAUUUACGCACUGAAAUCAGGUAACACUGUGCUGUGCGUCAGUUAUUUUCUAUUCACUCUGACAAAACAUCUGAUCAAAUCCACCUGGGGGCUGGACUCUGGUUCACGGUUUAGGAGAGAAUGUAAUCCUCGUGGCAGAAGCAUGAACUUGUAGCAGAAAAAUCAGGAAACACACGUUUAAACCCAGCAUUCUGGAGAGACAGCGUCAGGCAGACCCCUGAGCUCGAGGCCAGCCUGGUCUACAUGAUGAGGUCCAGGAGAGCCAGGGCUUCAUAGUGGGCCCUCGCCUCGAAAACAAACAAGAGGAAUGAUCAAUAAAAAGUAGAGAGAGGCGAGGGCUGGGACUCAGCUGAGGUUUUCCUUUCUCCCUUCUGCUUCAGUCGCAGAACCCAUCCCCGAUGGUGCGAUGGUGGUGCUCACACACAGGCUAGGCCCUUUCAGUCAGUGUUCUCUAAAAAUGUCCUCGGGCACACUCAGCGCUGUAUCUCCUACGUGGUUCUAAAUGCCAUCGAUCGACAACCCAGACCAGGAACCACAAGUUGAGGUGGAGUCCUCUACUCGGUGGGUGGUACGUGAGGUUGGUGACCUCUCUGAGACAAGCAGGCACCAAGUGACCCUUCCCACGUACGCGUCAUGUCUGGGAACAAACCUCUCUAGUUAAUUCUGACAGGGGAGAACAGAACAAGGAUGGUUUAUGGCGUGAGUCAUUUGAGUUUUAUAUUAGAAUAUAAUAAAAGGAUACAUGACUUGUUAGAGACAUAGCUGAAGGAUUGAAAGGCAUUUGCCCUGUACUAAACUAACAGAUUUUAGUCAGCGAUCCUGCAAUAAUUAUGGCUGUGUACAGAAUGCUGUGUCCGUGCACCCCGCUCGUGACUCACUGGAUGAGUCACGCCUUCUCCUGCCCUUCCACCGGGUUCCUAAGAGCGGCCCAUCUCACCUGCGAUGAUUUUCUGUUUAAUUAGUCCUCCCACCAUCCACACCUAAUCAGGGCCUCGGGACAGUGGCCCUCUGAUGUCAGUCUUCCUCGAGGACCAGUCCAGAGUGACGAAACACCACCAACCAUGCUCUUGCUGAACCCCAAUCUUUCCACAGCUCCUCUGGUCUACACUCUCUAGCCAAGAACACAAGACCCACAACCUGGCUGUGGGUUUCACCAGCUGCGACUCGCGAUGGCAUUAGUGUCUUGAACAUCUCGAAGUGAAGGAGUGGGAAGGGCUCUUUGUUCCCUGAAGCACGCCACAGAGAGCAGAAUGGCCCAGGUGGCAAGGCCCUCUUCACGUUCCUUACCGUUAGCAUUUUGAAGGAAACUCUUCCUCCCCCACAACCAAAUAAUAUUUGAAUUAUUAUUGAAUUCACUGAAAAGGGUAAAAAGCAAAAAUAUACCCAGACCAGAUCUCUCUGGAUGUUUCAUAACAAAAUGGAUAAACUGUAUUCUGACUCCACUGACAGAUGAAUGGCCUCCAGCCCUCCAGGCCUGACAGGCAAACCAUUUCAUUCAAACACCAGGUCCUGACAAGCUUCAGUGUGCAGAUCUUCUGGCUGCCGUAGCCCGAACUAUAAUUCUGAGACUUGAGAAGGACCGGCCUCCCGCGGCCGUGGUGAGAGACCAGAUCUGCAAACGCAAGACGGGGCUGCUUUGCUUCAUCACUGCAAGGGCUGAGCUCCUGCAGGGCACAGGUAGCUCCACAGAGACACAGAGAAGAAGGAAAUAGAAUAUGGGCAACGCCUGAGUCUGGGUUUGUUUCUUCCCAGCGACAAUGACCCUAAUUAAGACAAGGCAUUGUCAGAGUUUCUCAGCCUCAAACUACAAGGCAAAGGAUUCCUUGCUGGGAACUGAGGGAGAGGGAGGUCCUCUGCCUUGUGGGCUGUUCCGGCUUUACUCACUAGAUGUGGUUAGGCUUUUCUUCCACCCCUAACCCCCAACCAUGGCAGGCUGUGACAAUGGGGUUACAGGAGUUGGGGGAGCUAGUGGGUGGCUGGCGACACCUCAGUUCCUGCAUCCAGUCACCUCUAGGAGGAAUAACACUUUUGUAAAAAUCCCACGAUCCUGAUCAUACCAACUUGUUUGUACUUUGUGCUUCAGUUCAAGAAAAAUAGCUGCAGCGAACGAACCACUGUCGUCUCAGAGGAAUAAAGAAUGAGCUAAGAGAAAAGAGAAAACAGGGGACGUGGGGUUGCGUGGUGUGUGGUAAGAACUCCAAACAGGAAGUCCUGAGAUGCUGGGGACGCAGGGCAGUGGUGGCAGACGGCUUUAAUCACAGCACUUGGGAGGCAGAGGCAGGUCGAUUUCUGAGUUCGAGGCCAGCCUGGUCUAAAGAGUUCCAGGACAGCCAGGGCUACACAGAGAAAUCCUGUCUCAAAAACAAACAGGAAAUCCAGAGACAGCAGGCAGGGUGGGGUAGCGCAUGCUGUAAGAAUUCCAGACACAGGAUAUGAACAAAUCUACAGGGAUGUCAGGGUCACCUAAGCAGACCUGAGUUCUGGGAUUUGCGUGUUGGUCUCCAGGUUAUCAUGGUGGCUUGUACGUGCAUGGGGGUGUGGUGACAAAGCUGACAGGAUGCUUAGCUAUGUGACCUCUGAGAUUCCUGCUCACGGCAAAACACGGAGCAGGGAAACCAGAGGCUUACCCUGGCUUUCUCAUCCGGCAGCGUAUGCUCAGUCCAGGAAUGAUAUCAGAAUGUCCUAGUCGCAAUCAUGUGUGUGUUGGGGGGGGUGUCAGCCAGAGGGGGGAAGUACUUCCUGCCAGGCCUGGAUGCCCUAAGCUAGAACCCUGGGGAGGGGGGUGGACUCCUCCUCGUAGAGUCCUCUCUUCCGUUCACAGAUGUGGGAUACCCCCACCCACAACAUGCACAAAUAAACAAAACAUAAACAAGUAAAUAAAUAGACAAAUAAUAGUAAAAAGCACUUUAACAACUUACUUGCUGGUAUUUCCUCUCUUCACCACACACAGUUAUUCCUAUUCUAAACUAGUCAAUACAACAAGCAAAUAUGUCUGUUGUCAUGUAAAUAUUCACAAAGGACUAGAUAUUAGGUGUAGACUAUUUAAAAUGUAGUCUAGGGCUGGAGAGAUGGCUCAGUGGUUAAGGGCACUGACUGGUCUUCCAAAGGUCCUGAGUUCAAUUCCCAGCAACCACAUGGUGGCUUACAACCAUCUGUAACAAGAUCUGAUGCUCUCUUCUGGGGUGUCUGAAGACAGCUACAGUCUACUUAUAUAUAAUAAUAAAUAAAUCUUUAAAAAAAUAAAAUAAAAUGUAGUCUAGGGUUCUUGUGAGAUGGUUCAGUGGUUAUAGUAUUCACUAAUCUUGCAGAGGACCAAGGUUCAAGUCCCAGCACCCACACAGUGGCUCACAGCCUUCAAUGAUGUCAGUUUCCAGGAUCAAGGUGCUGGGAACUGAGCCUGGGUCAAAUGUUCUUACCCUCUGAGUAUCCCCAGUAUGCAUUUAAAAGGUGACAUCUUCAACUUACCCUUGAGGCUGGAAGUCUAUCCCUGUAAUGGUUAAUCUCGGUUGAUAACUUGACUGGAUUGAGAGACCCCUUGAAGAUUAAUAAAGCAUGUCUGGGAUCACGUUUGUGAGGGUGUUUCCAGAGAGGAUCUCCUGGGGAAGCGUCCUAGUUACUAUUGCAUUGCUGGGAGGAGACAACAUGACCAGAGCGGCUCAGUAAGGGAAGCAUUUAGUUGGGUGUUUGCUUGCAGUUCAGAGGGCGAGUCCGUGACCAUCACAGUGGGGAGCGUGGCGGCAGAGGCGGGCAUGGUGCUGCAGCAGUAGCUAAAACCUUAUAUCUGGUCCACGAACAGAGAUGGGGGACAGGGGAGGGCCUAGUGUUGGCCUUUGAAAGUUUACCCCUAGUGACACACCUCCAACAAGGCUAAUAUACCUCCUAAUCCUCCCUAAACAGGCCACCAGCUAGGAACCGAACAUUGAAAUAUAUGGACCUGUAGGGACCAUUCUCAUUCAAACCAGCACAGGGCAAAGUCCCAGCCUGAGUGUGGUGGGCACCGGCUCACAAUCUGGGGACCCAGAUGGAAUCAAUGCAGGAGGGAAAUGAGAAGGCGCACUCUGCAGCCUUCUCUUCUUGCUUACAGCCGUCUCCCCGACACGAGGUGAGCUGUUUUGCUCUACCAGGCACUUCCGGCCACAAUGGACUGAAACUUCUGAAACCCAGAGCUGGAAUGAACCCUUCACACCCUAAAUUGUUUUCCGCAGUUGUGUGCCACAGCGCUGGGAAGCUCUCGCUCGGUGCCGUCCAGAGCUCAAGAGCGCACUACCUGGGAAGUUUGCUCUUGUGCAUAAGCAUUUCACAUAUGGUACAUUAAGCUCCUAUCAUGUGCGGGCUGUGAUCAAAUGGUAAUAGCGCAGCACACACGGUCCUGUGAAGGAUUUUGAGAUGUGUGCAGCAGGAACAUUCUGGGAUCAACUAUCAAUGCUCACUGCACGUGGGAAGUCUGAAGAUCAUACGUGGCCACCCUGCAUCUGACCCUGCCUCCAACUCCUGCCAUCUUGCUUAUUUUAAGUCAGGGCCUCACUACGUAGUACAAUCUGGAGCUUGCUGUGUAACACCAGUUGACCUUAAAUUCACAGCAAUUCCCCUGCCUCUGUAUCUCAUGUGUUCAGGUCACAGGCCAAAACUACCAAGUUCAUCAUGAAGCCAAUAUCUCCCUUGCUCCUGCAGACUGUGACCUCGGCAUUCUCUCCGAGUACUGCAUACUGCCUAGACUGCUCUAUUCUCCGUGCUCUGGACAGCACCCUCCAAUCCGCUCCAGAAUACACUAGUGAGUUUGUCUCUGCUGAUGUAAUCAAUUAAUCAAUCAAUUAAAAACAGACUGUACCCAGAUUAUGAGUUUGGACU
Apodemus sylvaticus (European woodmouse) is the source of this 7987-nucleotide long non-coding RNA. RefSeq lists it as uncharacterized. The record is from RefSeq and is a predicted model, not a curated record. Lineage: Eukaryota; Metazoa; Chordata; Mammalia; Rodentia; Muridae. The transcript has 5 exons.